RNAcentral lists this ribosomal RNA (273 nucleotides) under uncultured bacterium. RNAcentral's name for it is "partial 16S ribosomal RNA". It matches the Rfam family "Bacterial small subunit ribosomal RNA", at positions 524 to 796 of the family's 1533-position model. The record is from RNAcentral.
UACGUAGGUGGCAAGCGUUGUCCGGAUUUAUUGGGUUUAAAGGGUGCGUAGGCGGCCAAUUAAGUCAGUGCUGAAAUACUCUAGCUUAACUAGAGGGGUGGCAUUGAUACUGAUUGGCUUGAGUGAAGUCGAAGUAGGCGGAAUUGACGGUGUAGCGGUGAAAUGCUUAGAUAUCGUCAAGAACACCGAUAGUGAAGACAGCUUACUAGACUUCAACUGACGCUGAGGCACGAAAGUGUGGGGAUCAAACAGGAUUAGAAACCCCCGUAGUCC